AUACGGAGGGUGCAAGCGUUAUCCGGAUUUACUGGGUUUAAAGGGUGCGUAGGCGGAUAGGUAAGUCAGUGGUGAAAUCUCCGAGCUUAACUCGGAAACUGCCGUUGAUACUAUUUAUCUUGAAUAUUGUGGAGGUAAGCGGAAUAUGUCAUGUAGCGGUGAAAUGCUUAGAUAUGACAUGGAACACCAAUUGCGAAGGCAGCUUACUACACAGUUAUUGACGCUGAGGCACGAAAGCGUGGGGAUCAAACAGGAUUAGAUACCCUGGUAGUCCACGCCCUAAACGAUGAUUACUCGACAUACGCGAUACACAGUGUGUGUCCGAGCGAAAGCAUUAAGUAAUCCACCUGGGAAGUACGAUCGCAAGAUUGAA
RNAcentral lists this ribosomal RNA (373 nucleotides) under uncultured bacterium. RNAcentral's name for it is "bacterial SSU rRNA". It matches the Rfam family "Bacterial small subunit ribosomal RNA", at positions 523 to 898 of the family's 1533-position model. The record is from RNAcentral.